This 277-nucleotide ribosomal RNA is filed under the name uncultured Verrucomicrobium sp. Its description in RNAcentral is "partial 16S ribosomal RNA". It matches the Rfam family "Bacterial small subunit ribosomal RNA", at positions 1153 to 1430 of the family's 1533-position model. The record is from RNAcentral. Lineage: Bacteria; Pseudomonadati; Verrucomicrobiota; Verrucomicrobiia; Verrucomicrobiales; Verrucomicrobiaceae.
CCCUCUUUGAGGGUGGGAAGGUGGGGAUGACGUCAAGUCAGGAUGGCCCUUACGGCUAGGGCUGCACACGUGCUACCAUGCCUGAUACAGAGGGAUGCAAUACCGCCGAGGUGAGCUAAUCCUAAAAAUCAGGCCCAGUUCAGAUUGUAGUCUGCAACUCGACUACAUGAAGUUGGAAUCGCUAGUAAUGGCGUAUCAGCUACGACGCCGUGAUACGUUCCCGGGCCUUGUACACACCGCCCGUCACAUCAUGAAAGCCGGUUUCGCCCGAAGUGCG